RNAcentral lists this ribosomal RNA (671 nucleotides) under uncultured Lachnospiraceae bacterium. Its description in RNAcentral is "bacterial SSU rRNA". It matches the Rfam family "Bacterial small subunit ribosomal RNA", at positions 66 to 737 of the family's 1533-position model. Lineage: Bacteria; Bacillati; Bacillota; Clostridia; Lachnospirales; Lachnospiraceae. The record is from RNAcentral.
GCGAAGCACUUUGCUUAGAUUCUUCGGAUGAAGAGGAUUGUGACUGAGCGGCGGACGGGUGAGUAACGCGUGGGUAACCUGCCUCAUACAGGGGGAUAACAGUUAGAAAUGACUGCUAAUACCGCAUAAGACCACAGCACCGCAUGGUGCGGGGGUAAAAACUCCGGUGGUAUGAGAUGGACCCGCGUCUGAUUAGCUAGUUGGUAAGGUAACGGCUUACCAAGGCGACGAUCAGUAGCCGACCUGAGAGGGUGACCGGCCACAUUGGGACUGAGACACGGCCCAAACUCCUACGGGAGGCAGCAGUGGGGAAUAUUGCACAAUGGGGGAAACCCUGAUGCAGCGACGCCGCGUGAGCGAAGAAGUAUUUCGGUAUGUAAAGCUCUAUCAGCAGGGAAGAAAAUGACGGUACCUGACUAAGAAGCACCGGCUAAAUACGUGCCAGCAGCCGCGGUAAUACGUAUGGUGCAAGCGUUAUCCGGAUUUACUGGGUGUAAAGGGAGCGUAGACGGAUGGGCAAGUCUGAUGUGAAAACCCGGGGCUCAACCCCGGGACUGCAUUGGAAACUGUUCAUCUAGAGUGCUGGAGAGGUAAGUGGAAUUCCUAGUGUAGCGGUGAAAUGCGUAGAUAUUAGGAGGAACACCAGUGGCGAAGGCGGCUUACUGGACAGU